GAUGAAGAACGUAGCGAAAUGCGAUAAGUAAUGCGAAUUGCAGAAUUUCCGUGAGUCAUCGAAUCUUUGAACGCACAUUGCGCCCACUGGUAUUCCGGUGGGCAUGCCUGUUCGAGCGUCAUUACAACCCUCAGGCCCCCGGGCCUGGCGUUGGGGAUCGGCGGAGCCCCCCGUGGGCACACGCCGUCCCCCAAAUGCAGUGGCGGUCCCGCCGCAGCUUCCAUCGCGUAGUAGCUAACACCUCGCGACUGGAGAGCGGCGCGGCCACGCCGUAAAACACCCAACUCUUCUGAAGUUGACCUCGAAUCAGGUAGGAAUACCCGCUGAACUUAAGCAUAUCAAUAAGCGGAGGA
This 353-nucleotide unclassified non-coding RNA is filed under the name soil metagenome. RNAcentral describes it as "partial contains 5.8S ribosomal RNA, internal transcribed spacer 2, and large subunit ribosomal RNA". The stretch from base 1 to 121 matches the Rfam family "5.8S ribosomal RNA", at positions 35 to 154 of the family's 154-position model. The record is from RNAcentral.